UGGCAGACGCACCAGACUCAAAAUCUGGCGAUGGCAACAUCGUGCGGGUUCAAGUCCCGCCUCCG
Molecule: transfer RNA, 65 nt
Filed under: Caudoviricetes sp.
Lineage: Duplodnaviria; Heunggongvirae; Uroviricota; Caudoviricetes
Description: tRNA-Leu
Source: RNAcentral